Molecule: ribosomal RNA, 482 nt
Filed under: uncultured bacterium
Lineage: Bacteria
Description: bacterial SSU rRNA
Rfam family: Bacterial small subunit ribosomal RNA
Source: RNAcentral
GCUGGCGGCAGGCCUAACACAUGCAAGUCGAGCGGUAACAUUUCUAGCUUGCUAGAAGAUGACGAGCGGCGGACGGGUGAGUAACGCGUAGAAAUCUACCUAGUAGUGGGGGAUAGCCCAGAGAAAUUUGGAGUUAAUACCGCAUACGCCCUACGGGGGAAAGCGGGGGAUCUUCGGACCUCGUGCUAUUAGAUGAGUCUGCGUCGGAUUAGCUUGUUGGUGAGGUAAUGGCUCACCAAGGCGACGAUCCGUAGCUGGUCUGAGAGGAUGACCAGCCACACUGGAACUGAGACACGGUCCAGACUCCUACGGGAGGCAGCAGUGGGGAAUAUUGCACAAUGGGCGCAAGCCUGAUGCAGCCAUGCCGCGUGUGUGAAGAAGGCCUUAGGGUUGUAAAGCACUUUCAGCAGUGAGGAAAGGGGUGUCGUUAAUAGCGCCAUCCUGUGACGUUAACUGCAGAAGAAGGACCGGCUAACUCCGUG